Molecule: small RNA, 236 nt
Filed under: Arabidopsis thaliana (thale cress)
Lineage: Eukaryota; Viridiplantae; Streptophyta; Magnoliopsida; Brassicales; Brassicaceae
Description: ATSL049420
Source: RNAcentral
AACAGGCAAUAAGCUAAUCAUUAUACAAAAUAAAAAAUUUAACUGGGAGAUUGUAGGGCUUUACCCCGAAGGGAGCCCUUCCAGAAAUUCUCGAAGGCCCAAGACAAGCUUAGGCCCAGGAGGGGGUUUGGAAAUAGUUUUCAACCAGCAAUAGACGCGCCUCGGUUAGAACCUCAUUAGCUGCGUCAUUGCCCCAAGCGCAAAGAUAAAUUUUUCUCACCUCAAAGCCGCUUUAU